Molecule: unclassified non-coding RNA, 261 nt
Filed under: Hevea brasiliensis (rubber tree)
Lineage: Eukaryota; Viridiplantae; Streptophyta; Magnoliopsida; Malpighiales; Euphorbiaceae
Source: RNAcentral
CAGCACUUACGAAUGGUGUUCAAAGUGCUACGGGAGAACAAGUUAUAUGUGAAGAAAGAAAAGUGUUACUUCGCACAGGAGGAGAUCUUGUUCUUGGGCCAUCGCGUUGGCGGUGGUAUGAUUCGCAUGGAUGAGGAAAAGGUUCGUGCGAUCAAGGAGUGGCCAGCCCCGACCAAGGUAACUGAGUUGAGAUCUUUCCUUGGCCUCGUCAACUACUAUCGUCGCUUCAUUCUUGGCUACUCAAAGCGGGCGGCAGUGUUG